Molecule: ribosomal RNA, 254 nt
Filed under: uncultured bacterium
Lineage: Bacteria
Description: partial 16S ribosomal RNA
Rfam family: Bacterial small subunit ribosomal RNA
Source: RNAcentral
UACGUAGGGUGCGAGCGUUGUCCGGAAUUAUUGGGCGUAAAGAGCUCGUAGGCGGUGUGUCACGUCGAUCGUGAAAACUUACAGCUUAACUGUGAGCGUGCGGUCGAUACGGGCAUCACUGGAGUUCGGCAGGGGAGACUGGAAUUCCUGGUGUAGCGGUGAAAUGCGCAGAUAUCAGGAAGAACACCCGUGGCGAAAGCGGCUCUCUGGAACGGUACUGACGCUGAGACGCGAAAGCGUGGGGAGCGAACAGG